CUUAAACAUGCCGGAGGUUAUUGUUCAACAUAUAUUUUCAGUAUAUUAUUUUUAUAUUUAUUAACUGGAUUUGUUGUGUGUGUGUUUGUGUGUGUGUGUGUGUGUGUGUGUGUUCAGAACUCUCCGCCUGUUUCGAUGGGUUUCAGUCAGAUGAUGAAAGUUCUCAGCCUUCGCUUUAUGGUGAAGAAGAGGUGGUGGACGGAUUAUCAGUGGAGUGGCCAUGUUUACAGAAGGGUUCUUCACUGAGUGUACUGAAGGAAGUGCUCUGCGGUGUGAAGGCUAGUCUGAGUGUGUUGGCCCAGUUGCCGGUUCCGACCCGCUCGUCUCUUCUGCUCCUGUUCCGUCAGAUUCUGCUGAAACCGACUCUAAAGCUCCUCUACUGUUUGGAGUACAAGUUGGAGACAUUCUGCAGAAAUCCCAGCCUUCCUGUGGACGACGCUUCAGACAAGCUAGUAGAGGACUUUCUGGAUCUGCUAUGGCCUCACAGAACCAUUAUUAAGAGAACCUCUACAGAACCAGUCACUCAAAACGGAUCUUCAUCACCUUCACUGUCCAAUCAGAACGGAGUUCAUACACCAGCAACCAAUCAGAACGGGGCUCAUACAUCACAAGCCAAUCAGAACGGGGCUCAUAUACCAGCAGCCAAUCAGAACGGAGCUCAUACACCAGCAGCCAAUCAGAAUGGAGCUCACUACAAUGGGAUUUCAUCGCAGACAGUGUAUUUAAAUGGCUCCUCCUCUACAGCUGAGGCGGGUCGGCCGGUCCGGACUGCGCUGUACAUGCUGGUCAGCGCCGCUGAGGGACUGAAGGAUGAAGGACUCAUCUACCUAGAAAGCCUCUGCUCUCCAGAAGAACUCCGUGGAUUAAAUUAUUUGGUAAGUAUUUAAUUCUCUAAAUUAAAACACACUUUCAUUAGAUGUUUUUAUUUUUCUGAAUUCUGUGAUUUUUUUUUCAAUAAUAUCCAAUUAUUUCGCAAAUAUUUCCAAUUAUUAUGACCUAACUGCAACUAGUGCACCAAGUAGUGCACCAUGGCUGUACCAACUGCAAUAUGUUUGUGUAUAUAUUUUUAUAAUUUAUAACAGCAAAAAAAAAUAUAUAGGAUUUUAUUUGCAGAUUUCACCAGAAUGAUGAUAAUAGCGUAUUUUUCACACUAUAAUGUGCACUUAAAAUCCUUUAAUUUUCCAAAAAUCUUUAGUGCUCCUUAUGUAUGAAUUAAGUACAGUUAUAGCUAUACUGUUAUACAGGAGUUUCACUGAAAAUUCUCCAGCACUAAGGCUGGAGCAGUAUUAGCAUUAGCCGCUAACUGUGCUAAGUGCAAGCUCUUUCACUGUUCUGAGACGAGUAUAUUGAACUGUAGCCUGCUGCUAACCCUGGCUAACGCUGCUGGAGCAGCAUUAGCACUAGCCGCUAAUUGCGCUAAGUGCUAGCACGUUCAGAGGUGAAUAUAUCGUACUGUAGUCUGCGUUUUUACCAUGCUAAAACAAGCUACAUGGAAUGAACCGCUAGCUAAUAUUGCCCUGGCUUACCAGAACACUCAGGGUUCUUCAAUGUAGCGCUGUUGGGGGAAUUUGGUUGUUGGGCUAGAGGUUAGCCGCUAAUGCUAAUGCUAAUGCUAAUGCUGCCCCCAGCCUUACUGUAAAUAAGCGGAAAUGUUUUAAUCACCCAAAAAACAAUCUUUAAACAGACUUUAAAAUAAAAUGUUUUUAUUAAGAAUUACA
This 1718-nucleotide long non-coding RNA is filed under the name Astyanax mexicanus (Mexican tetra). RNAcentral's name for it is "lncRNA (ENSAMXG00005001947.1)". The record is from RNAcentral. Lineage: Eukaryota; Metazoa; Chordata; Actinopteri; Characiformes; Acestrorhamphidae.